GUGGUCAAAAAUUCCAGCAAGCUGAUGUCAUACAUUGGUGGACAAUUAUGCAAAAUGCCUACUAGAAGUUAUUUCUGCUAAAGGGGUCAAAACUAGCUUCUGAGGCCAAGGGUGUAUUUACUUUUUCCACAGAAGAAUCACAUCUAUUGCUAUUUCUGUUGAAUAAAUGAAUGAAAAAGCUAUUUUUACUUGUGGUUUUCUUCAAGUAUAUCAACUUUAUUAAUGGGCAUGGUUUCAAAGAGGAUCAAAUGUUUGCUUGUCCAAAUAUGUCAAAAAAGCCAAGAAUUUCCAUGGGGUGUACUUAUUUUUUCACACGACUGUAUGUAUAAGUGACUUUAAUAGACUGCUAACAUUGACAUGUUUUAUCAUGAUUCAUUAAUUUCUGCAGAGUUUACAUUGUGUAUUUAUUAAGGCAACACUUAAUCAGAUCAGAAGAAUAUUUUUUUAAUUAUGUACUAUCAUUAUGGUUGUUUUUUUGAUGCAUAUAUUUAUUUACCUCAUCAUUUAUCGGGUUCAUGCCACCGCGGACUGCUUCUUCGUUUACUGAAUUGGAUUCUCCAUGUUUAUUGCCUUGAUUGGGAGUUACAUACAUAUCAUAAUUUAUACUGGUUGUAUUAGUCAGAUUCAUAUUCAAAGGAGUAAUCUGUAUAGUCGGUGUAUCCUGCGGUCUGUGUCGCAUAAUCAAAUUCACUAUCAUCUGUAUAACCUGUAAAAGGGGGAAAAAACACUUAGAAGGCCAUCACAUUAUCUGGAAAUGCUAGUGGAGAUUGGAGCAUUACACUCUAAUCUUUAAAGCCAUUUAACACUGUUGUUUUUCAUCUUCAAAUCUUUGUUUGUAUUUUUGUUUAAUGGUUUUGAACAAUGACAAAAUUUCAUUAAAAAAAAGUUAAACCUUUUAACUCUUCUAAGAAGUAUCCUUUAGAAUAAUCAGAGCUUCGUUUCAUGUUAUGUCCUAAUGUGGACUGAUUUUGAGGGAAUAUUUAUGGAAAAGUGGCAUGUUGGCAUGUGAAUGAAAACAAUAAGAUAACACAAGGUAAUAAAACCUGACAGAAAACCCUUACUGCAGUUACAGUAUUCAACUACAUCCAACCAACUGAAACAUUGUGAUGGUCUGAACUCGUUCUUGUACAAUGUCAGGUAUUGAGUUUCCUCUCACUGAACCUGGCAGCUCACUGUUUUACCCAACUACAGAACAGGUAUAGACAAGAUCUUCAAACAUUCUACAGUCUUGGCUUAAUGCAGCCCGUAUCUACAACUCAUAUCUAGAGACAGUUUUCCUUUCAGAUUUGAAUGAUUGGCAAAAGCAUCUCUACACUGGUUCCACUCUACUUUUUUUAGUCAUUUCCUUAGUCCUGAUAUAAUCAGUGUGAAAUAAAUCACUUACACAAUCGUUUGGUAUCACACUGAUUUUGAGACAGCAGGUAAAUGCCAGCAGACAGUCACAUCAUUUACACACAUACAUUAGCUAAAAACACUUUUAGACAGCAACAUAAACUGCUUAAAUUUGUUUUAUAUUGUCUGUACUUGUUCUGGUGUGUAUGCAUUCUUGGACAAGCUUUUUUUUUAAGUUUAUUAUUAAUUUCUCAGCAUGACAAGAGAACUGAUGAGGCUAAUUAAGGUAAAAUUAUAUAUAUAAAAAGAUAUGUACCUUGAUGUCAAAGUGUUUUGCAGUAUGCAAAAGUUCCACAGUUCUGCACGCCUAGCCUGGGAAUGUUUUAUUAAGCUUGUCAACUUGUCUAGGCUUUCUGCAGAAAUCACUUUAAAUAAUUAAGGAGCCAGUUUAACAAAAGGUUUCAAAACAUUCAUACAGAAGAAAAUACCAACAUUUCACCAUGUGAGGGGUUUCCCCAGGCUGCCACACAUCUACAAUUUCUUCUGUCUUUGUUGGUAAACUAAUUAAAAAGCCUACUAAACUGAACAUGAAUGAGAAGAAGCUUUUGUUAAGCUUUUAUUUAAUUUAAACUGACACAUGGUAAUAUUUUGUUUUGUUUUUUUAUCGACUUUUUCAGCUUCCAUCAAUCCUGUCUUUCAACGCUUGUUGAAUUUCAUAAUUUCAUUUCAAGGUUGUUGUUUUUUUAAACUAUAAUGGGUUAUAGCACAAAAAUUUUAGCUGAAAUGCUGAAGUAAUUAUUAUAUCAGCCACUUCCCUUUAUUUACACUAUCACAUCAUGAAUUUGGAAGUCAGGAAAAAACAAGAUAUGAAAGGAGAUGUAGUUCUUACCCAAACACUGAGGCAGCAACAAAACCCCUGUCACCCACAGAGAGAGCAGUCCUGUGUGCAUGCUGGAGAAGUGUGUGAUUGCAGAGAUGUGUGUGUAGUGCGCAGUGAGACACAUGCAUAACUCCAUGAGCUGUAUUUAUGUACAGUAGUGUGUCAAAGGGUGGAGAGGACUGGGUUGGGCUAAAACAGACUGCUAAUAUAA
This is a long non-coding RNA of Ictalurus punctatus (channel catfish), 2423 nucleotides long. NCBI's taxonomy places the organism in Eukaryota, Metazoa, Chordata, Actinopteri, Siluriformes, Ictaluridae. The record is from Ensembl.